GUGGAAGCACAGUAAUGUGUGUAGCUAACUGAUACUAAUAGCUCGAUUGAUUUACUUUG
RNAcentral lists this ribosomal RNA (59 nucleotides) under Rickettsia felis. RNAcentral describes it as "partial 23S ribosomal RNA". The record is from RNAcentral. Lineage: Bacteria; Pseudomonadati; Pseudomonadota; Alphaproteobacteria; Rickettsiales; Rickettsiaceae.